Long non-coding RNA from Homo sapiens (human), 536 nucleotides. RefSeq lists it as uncharacterized. The transcript has 5 exons. The record is from RefSeq and is a predicted model, not a curated record. Lineage: Eukaryota; Metazoa; Chordata; Mammalia; Primates; Hominidae.
GAUGAUGAUGAUGAUGAUGAUGAUGGAGCUAUGCUGCUGUACUUGGACACCUUAUGGUAAAACAAUAAGAAUUCCAAACGGUAUUUGAUAAAUUAUUUACGAUACCCUCCAUGCACAAGAAAUCAAUACGAAUCAUGGGUUCCCUUUUUUACAAAAGCAUGGAUAAAUGGAUCUUAGGAAAAUUGUAGUUCCCGUGGUCAGGAUGUUUUUCAUGAUGGUGGCAGUUGGCCUCUUGGGAAUCUGAGAGAUUGUCCAAAAGCUGACUAACAGGAAGACAGAAGUGUAACUGCAGCACAAACAGACAGGAAACAGCUAUGUUAAGAAAACAUUUGUGAAAAUUCACUCAGCAUUGCUUACAUGAAGCCUCUAACUUGAUGAGAGAGCAAGUUGGUUAAAAAAAUAGAAGCUUAUUUGAGAAAUGAGGAGUUAGCAUUGUGCCUGUCGAGGCCUUCCUCCUGUCUAGCACAUGGACCAUCGUAAAUGGCCUUGCGCCUGGGCUGGAGUGCAGUGGUGCAAUCUCGGCUGACUGCAACCUC